UGGGCUUGUAGCUCAGUUGGUUAGAGCACACGCUUGAUAAGCGUGGGGUCGGAGGUUCAAGUCCUCCCAGGCCCACCAA
This 79-nucleotide transfer RNA is filed under the name Brucella ovis ATCC 25840. RNAcentral's name for it is "tRNA-Ile". It matches the Rfam family "tRNA". From Rfam's summary of the family: Transfer RNA (tRNA) molecules are approximately 80 nucleotides in length. Their secondary structure includes four short double-helical elements and three loops (D, anti-codon, and T loops). Further hydrogen bonds mediate the characteristic L-shaped molecular structure. tRNAs have two regions of fundamental functional importance: the anti-codon, which is responsible for specific mRNA codon recognition, and the 3' end, to which the tRNAs corresponding amino acid is attached (by aminoacyl-tRNA synthetases). tRNAs cope with the degeneracy of the genetic code in two manners: having more than one tRNA (with a specific anti-codon) for a particular amino acid; and 'wobble' base-pairing, i.e. permitting non-standard base-pairing at the 3rd anti-codon position. The record is from RNAcentral. Lineage: Bacteria; Pseudomonadati; Pseudomonadota; Alphaproteobacteria; Hyphomicrobiales; Brucellaceae.